AGGCCCGUCUCAAAGUGUGACAAAUGAAAGAAACCCUGAUGCAGUUCUCGACAUCGAUAUGUCAGAUGUUUGAACGCCGUCCAAAAGGUCUAACCAGGUGUCCUCAGCAUCGG
Long non-coding RNA from Priapulus caudatus, 113 nucleotides. RefSeq lists it as uncharacterized. Lineage: Eukaryota; Metazoa; Priapulida; Priapulimorpha; Priapulimorphida; Priapulidae. The record is from RefSeq and is a predicted model, not a curated record. The transcript is spliced from 3 exons.